UCAACUUUUGGGAGGCCAUUAUUUAAUAUUGUCGAACAUUGACGAACAGAAGACAUCCGACAUCAGGGGACAAAUACGGAGGGAAUUCGACGGCAGCUUUGGAGACAGGAGGAUCAGACGCAAACAGGGCAACAACGAACAUCAGCCGCACGGACGGAGAAGAUAUUUGGAGAGGGAGGUUCGAUCAGCCGUAAAAAGAGGAAGGGUUCAAGAUUCAAAGCUGCAAUUAAGAUUCAAGUCCGGGUUCACAACGAAUAUGGAGCAAAUGCAUAGGAUGAUCGUGAUACACUAGGAUGGACUUGGGCCUUAGUGACGAUAAAAUGGAUCUAGACUAGUUAAAACUUGUUAUGUACUUUGUUUCCUUUUCAUUUUAAGACAAUGUAACUUGUGGGUUCUCGUUUGAAACAAUGUAUUCCACCCUUGGGUGAUGAAUAAAUUAUUAUUUA
Molecule: long non-coding RNA, 446 nt
Filed under: Helianthus annuus (common sunflower)
Lineage: Eukaryota; Viridiplantae; Streptophyta; Magnoliopsida; Asterales; Asteraceae
Description: hypothetical non coding rna
Source: RNAcentral